UACGUAGGGGGCAAGCGUUGUCCGGAUUUAUUGGGCGUAAAGAGCGUGUAGGCGGUUUGGUAGGUCCGCUGUGAAAACUCGAGGCUCAACCUCGAGACGUCGGUUGAAACCGUUUGGCUAGAGUCCGGAAGAGGAGAGUGGAAUUCCCGGUGUAGCGGUGAAAUGCGCAGAUAUCGGGAAGAACACCCGUGGCGAAGGCGGCUCUCUGGGACGGUACUGACGCUGAGACGCGAAAGCGUGGGGAGCGAACAGG
This 253-nucleotide ribosomal RNA is filed under the name uncultured bacterium. RNAcentral's name for it is "partial 16S ribosomal RNA". It matches the Rfam family "Bacterial small subunit ribosomal RNA", at positions 524 to 776 of the family's 1533-position model. The record is from RNAcentral.